This 477-nucleotide ribosomal RNA is filed under the name uncultured bacterium. RNAcentral's name for it is "partial 16S ribosomal RNA". It matches the Rfam family "Bacterial small subunit ribosomal RNA", at positions 28 to 507 of the family's 1533-position model. The record is from RNAcentral.
GAUGAACGCUGGCGGCGUGCCUAACACAUGCAAGUCGAACGAGAUGCGUAUUGGAAAGCUUCGGCCGGAAGAUGCGUUAUCUAGUGGCGGACGGGCGAGUAACACGUGGGUAACCUGCCUUAUGGAGGGGGAUAACAGAGAGAAAUCACUGCUAAUACCGCAUAAGCACACAUUGCCGCAUGGCAGAGUGUGAAAAGAUUUAUCGCCAUAAGAUGGACCCGCGUCUGAUUAGCCAGUUGGCAGGGUAAAAGCCUACCAAAGCAACGAUCAGUAGCCGAUCUGAGAGGAUGACCGGCCACAUUGGGACUGAGACACGGCCCAAACUCCUACGGGAGGCAGCAGUGGGGAAUAUUGCACAAUGGGGGAAACCCUGAUGCAGCGACGCCGCGUGAGUGAAGAAGUAUUUCGGUAUGUAAAGCUCUAUCAGCAGGGAAGAUAAUGACAGUACCUGACUAAGAAGCCCCGGCUAACUACGUG